This 215-nucleotide unclassified non-coding RNA is filed under the name uncultured Tremellales. RNAcentral describes it as "sequence contains 5.8S rRNA gene, ITS2, 28S rRNA gene". The stretch from base 1 to 52 matches the Rfam family "5.8S ribosomal RNA", at positions 103 to 154 of the family's 154-position model. Lineage: Eukaryota; Fungi; Basidiomycota; Tremellomycetes; Tremellales. The record is from RNAcentral.
AACGCACAUUGCGCCUUUUGGUAUUCCGAAAGGCAUGCCUGUUUGAGUGUCAUAAGACCUCUCAUACCUAGUUUUCUAUGUAUGAGCUUUGGACGUCUGCCAUGUUUUGGCUCGUCUUAAAUGUCUAAGUGGAAUGCGUAAUAAGUUUUCGCUCCCUCCACUCUAAUAACUUUUAGCUUGACCUCAAAUCAGGUAGGACUACCCGCUGAACUUAA